RNAcentral lists this ribosomal RNA (253 nucleotides) under uncultured bacterium. RNAcentral's name for it is "partial 16S ribosomal RNA". It matches the Rfam family "Bacterial small subunit ribosomal RNA", at positions 524 to 776 of the family's 1533-position model. The record is from RNAcentral.
UACGUAGGUGGCAAGCGUUGUUCGGAAUUACUGGGCGUAAAGCGCGCGUAGGCGGCUCUUCAAGUCAGGCGUGAAAGCCCCGGGCUUAACUCGGGAACUGCGCUUGAUACUGUCGAGCUAGAGUGUGGAAGGGGCGAUUGGAAUUCCGUGUGUAGCGGUGAAAUGCGCAGAUAUCAGGAGGAACACCGGUGGCGAAGGCGGCUUUCUGGACGACAACUGACGCUGAGACGCGAAAGCGUGGGUAGCAAACAGG